UGGGGAAUCAUGGUCAAUGGGCGAAAGCCUGAACCUGCGACGCCGCGUGAGUGAUGAAGGUUUUCGGAUCGUAAAGCUCUGUCUUUGGGGAAGAUAAUGACGGUACCCAAGGAGGAAGCCACGGCUAACUACGUGCCAGCAGCCGCGGUAAUACGUAGGUGGCGAGCGUUAUCCGGAUUUACUGGGCGUAAAGGGAGCGUAGGCGGAUGAUUAAGUGGGAUGUGAAAUACCCGGGCUCAACUUGGGUGCUGCAUUCCAAACUGGUUAUCUAGAGUGCAGGAGAGGAGAGUGGAAUUCCUAGUGUAGCGGUGAAAUGCGUAGAGAUUAGGAAGAACACCAGUGGCGAAGGCGACUCUCUGGACUGUAACUGACGCUGAGGCUCGAAAGCGUGGGGAGCAAACA
RNAcentral lists this ribosomal RNA (402 nucleotides) under uncultured prokaryote. Its description in RNAcentral is "bacterial SSU rRNA". It matches the Rfam family "Bacterial small subunit ribosomal RNA", at positions 355 to 774 of the family's 1533-position model. The record is from RNAcentral.